GCAGUGGUGAUUCAGUGGUAAAAUUCUAACCUUCCAUGUGGGAGACCGGGGUUCGAGUCUCAGCCAAUGCA
Molecule: transfer RNA, 71 nt
Filed under: Loxodonta africana (African savanna elephant)
Lineage: Eukaryota; Metazoa; Chordata; Mammalia; Proboscidea; Elephantidae
Rfam family: tRNA
About the family: Transfer RNA (tRNA) molecules are approximately 80 nucleotides in length. Their secondary structure includes four short double-helical elements and three loops (D, anti-codon, and T loops).
Source: Rfam by way of RNAcentral